ACACUUACCUGGCAGGGGGACCACAGGUGAGGCUCAUCUACUGCACUCCAGGUGUACUGACCCCCUGCAAUCUCCCAAUGCAGGAAACUUGACUACAUAAUCUGUGGUAGUGGGGGACUGUGUUUGUGUACCCGCUCCCG
Non-coding RNA from Podarcis lilfordi (Lilford's wall lizard), 140 nucleotides. The record is from the annotation of a GenBank genome assembly. Lineage: Eukaryota; Metazoa; Chordata; Lepidosauria; Squamata; Lacertidae.